Molecule: long non-coding RNA, 9283 nt
Filed under: Nicotiana tabacum (common tobacco)
Lineage: Eukaryota; Viridiplantae; Streptophyta; Magnoliopsida; Solanales; Solanaceae
Description: long non-coding RNA (NTAB_LNC012302)
Source: RNAcentral
ACGACCCUAAUUUCCCUUCGUAGGAUGUCGUGAUGGCACCUAGUCUCUAAGACUAGGUAAGCCUAAUAAUUUGUGAAAUAACUGAAUAUAAAACUGAACUCAUAUCUCAAUACAUGAAAUAUAAAUAGAACUUGCAAUUCAAAUAAUUACAACUUCCAAAAUCCAGUAGAAACAAGUCACAAGCUUCUAAGAGAAAAUACAAAGUGUCUCUAUACAUCAAAGUUUAAGGAAAAUAAGGAAAAACAGCAUAGUAAGGAUACACUGGGACUCCGAGAUCUAUAGACGCUGGCAGAUAUACCUUGAUGUAUCCACGUACGAUCCAGCUCACUGGUAUCAUGCCUGGUAGGAAGAACCUGGAUCUGCACAAAAGGAUGUGCAGAAGUGUAGUAUGAGUACACCACAACGGUACCCAGUAAGUGCCAAGCCUAACCUUAGUAGAAUAGUAACGAGGUCAGGUCAGGGCCCUACUGGAAUAAAAGGUAAUGAGGAAGAAAAUAUAAUAGUACAAUGAAGUGACUGAGAAAUGAACAAGGAGAAAUUUCAGAAAGGUAACAGCACAGCAAAUAGAGGAAAACAAUAGGGGCGCUCCCGAGGUAAUGCCUCGUAGUCCCAAAUGUAACUGCACAACGGUGGGGAUAUCCUGAGGUACCGCCUCGUAGUCCCAAAAGUAAAUAUGCAACGGGGGAUCUCUCGAGGUACCGCCUCAGAAUCCCAAAAGUAAAUAUGCAACUGAUAAAUUAUGGAACAACGAAUUUACAGCAAGGAAUCCUACAGUUAAAGAUUGAAUACAAGAUCAAAGAAAUAAGUAAUUCAGCUAAACAUAUUGCACAAAUUUCAAGUAAAGGUUAAUACACGUAGGCAGGCAAUACUAGGCUAAAUACGACAACUACACAUGCUAAGUCAACUCAGUUAAGGAAUUUAAAAGAAGUUUACUCAGCAAGAACCGAAAUUUGCACAACUAGCCCGUGUACGCACUCGUCACCUCGCGUAAACGGCGCUCGCAUAUCAUAAAUUAUUACAACAGUACCAAAUCCUAAGGGGAUUUUCCCCACAAAAUGAUAGGCAAGUCACUUACCUCGCUCAAUCAAUCGAUAAGAAUGCCUUUCCCUCGACUUUCUGACUCUGAUCGGCUCGAAUCUAGCCAAAAUAAUUACAUACUACAAAUACAACUACAAGAAACUAAUUAAAAUAAUGAAAAUACGACUUUAGCAAAGAAUUAAAAACUCGGCCCAAAAUAUCCACCGGGCCCACAUCUAGGAAUCGGGUAAAAUUCACAAAAUACGAAUACACAUUCGAUAUCGAGUUCACUCAUGCCAAAAUUACUCAAAUCCGACACCAAGUUGCCACUCAAAUACCCAAAUUAAACUCUCCAAAUCCCUAGCCUCAAACUCCCAAACUCCACCUUAAAUACGCACAAACUAGGUGGGAAAUCAAUGGGGAAACAAGCUUAUUGGUCAAAAAUGAGUACAAGAGACUUACCUUAAGAAAUCCAUCGAAAAUGCUCUCAAACAUCGCCAAGACCCGAGCUCAAAAAGUUGAUAUGAAGCAAAAUAGAAAAUCCUUGUAUUUAAGUGUUCUACCCAGCACUUCCGCUUAUGCGGAAACUUAGCCGCAUCUGUGGCGUCGCAGAAGCGACAACAUACCCGCUUCUGUGGUUUCCCUCGCUCCCACGGUCUCUUCAUCCGCUCCUGCGGACUCGCUUCUACGGGCCUCCCAGUCGCUUCUGCAGUCCCAGCUUCCUUGCCAAAUUCUACUUCUACGGUUCAAAGCCCGAUUUUGCGAUAGGCCUCCCAAGCACGCGUCCGCUUCUGCGAUCACUCUUCCGCAGAAGCGACUCCGCUUCUGCGGCCUUCACACCGUACCUGCGACCACAAGACAUUUCCUCCAGCCACGCAUCUGCGCCCAAAUGCUUGCUUCUACGAGCUCGCACCUUCGGUCAAUCUUGCACAGGUGCGAUUAUACCAGAACUGAUGCACUUCAUCCAUUCUCACAAGUCCAAAUUGAUCCGUUACCAUCCAAAACCCACUUGAGGCCCCCGGGACCUCAACCAAAUAUACCAACAAGUCCUAAAAUAUCAUACGAACUUAGUCGAAUCUCUAAAUCACAUCAAACAACGCUAAAAAUAUGAAUUGCAUAUCGAUUCAAGCCUAAUAAACUUUAAAGCUUCAAACUUCUACAUUCGACGCCGAAACCUAUCAAAUCAAGUUCGAUUGACCUCAAAUAUUGCAUACAAGUCAUGACUGACAUAACAGACCCAUACCAACUUCCGGAAUCGGAAUCCGGCCCUGAUAUCAGAAAGUCCACUCCCGGUGAAACAUCCCAAAAAUUAUCCAACUUUCGCCAAUUGACGAUAAAAUGACCUACGGACCUCCAAAAUCACCCUAUGGAGCUAUUGGAACAGUCUAAACUCCAUUCCGGAGUCGUCUUCUCACCGUUAAAAUUAUGGUCAAAUUCAUAGAACUUAAACUCCCAAUUUAGGGACUAUGUAUCCUAUUUUACUCUAAACCAAAAAAACAAAUCCCCCCGGCAAGUCAUGUAACCACAAAAUGAAAUAGAGGGAGCAAUAAAUAGGGGUUCGGGGAUAAUACUCUCAAAACGAUCGGUCGGGUUGUUACAUCCUCCCCCUCUUAAAACAAACGCUCGUCGUCGACCGAGUAUAUAGACAUACCUGAAGUGGUGAAAAGAUGAGGAUAACGGCUGCGCAUAUCAUGCUCGAUCUCCCAAGUCGCCUCCUCGACUAGAUGACCCAUACACUGAACCUUCACUGAAGCAAUGCUCUUUGAGCUCAACCUUUGAACCAGCCUGUCCAAAAUGGCCACCGGCUCCUCAACAUACGAUAGAUCCUUGUCCAACUGGACUGAGAUGAAGUCUAACACAUAAGACGGAUCACCGUGAUACUUCUGGAGCAUGGAAACAUGGAAUACUGGAUGAACUGCAGAGAGACUCGGUGGUAGUGCAAGUCUGUAAGCCACCUCCCCAUCCCUCUCAAGAAUAUCAAAAGGCACGAUAUACCUAGGGCUCAACUUGCCCUUCUUUUCAAACCUCAUAACACCAUUCAUGGGUGAAACUCAGAGCAAGACCCACUCCCCAACCAUGAAUGCAACGUCGAGAACCUUCUGAUCUGCAUAACUCUUCUGCCUGGACUAGGUUGUACGCAAUCGAUCCUGAAUAAAUUUAACCAUUUCCAACACAUCCUGAACUAAGUCUGUACCCAAUAGCCUAGCCUCUCCCGGCUCAAACCAACCCACUGGAGACGGGCACAGUCUACCAUACAAAGCCUUAUAUUGUGGCAUCUGAAUGCUCGACUGAUAAUUGUUGUUGUAGUCAAACUACGCAAGUGGCAAGAACUAGUCCCAAGCACCCCCAAAAUCCAUCCAAUGCGCACGAAGCAUAUCCUACAAUAUCUGAAUAGUGCUCUCGGACUGUCCGUUCGUCUGAGGGUGAAAUGUUGUACUCAACUCCACCUGAGUACCCAACUCACGCUAUACGGCUCUCCAGAACCGUGAUGUAAACUGCGUACCCCGGUCAGAGAUGAUAGAUACAGGUACGCCAUGAAGCCUGACAAUUUCGCGAUUGUAAACUUGAGCCAGCUGCUCCGAAGAGUAAGUAGUUACCAUAGGAAUGAAAUGAGCUGACUUGGUCAAUCUAUCCACAACCACCCAAACUGCAUCGAACUUCCUCUGAGUUCGCGGGAGCCCAACAACAAAAUCCAUAGUGAUCCACUCCCAUUUUCACUCUGGAAUCUCAAACUUUUGAAGCAAUCCACCCGGUCGCUGAUGCACAUACUUCACCUGCUGACAAUUUACGCAACUAGCUACAUAUUCCACUAUGUCCUUCUUCAUCCGCCUCCACCAAUAGUGUUACCUUAAAUCCUAAUACAUCUUUGCGGCACCUGGAUGAAUGGAAUAUCGCAAACUGUGAGCCUCCUGGAGAAUCAACUCACGCAAACCAUCUACAUUAGGCACACAUAGCCCGUGUUGCAUCCGUAACACACCGUCAUCCCCAAUGGUGACUUCCUUGGCAUCACCGUGCUGAACCGUGUCCUUAAGGACAAGUAGAUGGGGGUCAUCAUACUGAUGCUCUCUGAUACGAUCAUAAAGAGAAGACUGAGAAACCACACAAGCCAAAACUCAGCUCAGCUCGGAAACAUCCAAUAUGAGAAACUGGUUGGCCAAGGCCUAAACAUCCAAGGCUAAAGGCCUCUCUGCUACUAAUAGAUAUGAUAAAUUUCCCAAACACUCCGCUUUGUGACUCAAGGCAUCAGCCACCACAUUGGCCUUCCCAGGAUGAUAGAGAAUGGUGAUGUCAUAAUCCUUAAGCAGCUCCAACCAUCUCUGUUGUCGUAAGUUAAGAUCUUUCUGUUUAAACAGAUGUUGUAGACUCCGGUGAUCGGUGAAAACCUCACAAGGGACACCGUACAAAUAAUGCCGCCAGAUACUAUAGCUGCUAACUCGAGGUCAUGGACAGGAUAAUUCUUCUCAUGCACUUCAGCUGUCUAAAUGCGUAGGCAAUCAUCCUACCGUCCUGCAUCAACACCGUGCCGAGACCAAUGCGCGACGCAUCACAACACACCGUAUAGGAUCCCAAUCUUGUAGGUAACACCAACACUGGGGAUGUAGUCAAAGCAAUCUUGAGCUUUUGAAAGCUCUCCCCACACUCCUUGGUCCAGCUUAACGGAGCACCCUUUUGGAUCAAUCUAGUCAUAGGUCCUGCAAUAAACGAUAAACCCUCUACAAAGCGACGGUAAUACCCCGCCAAGCCAAGAAAACUCCGGAUCUCCGUACCUUGAUCCCUUCACUCGACACUACAUGACCCUAAAAUGCCACUGACUCUAGCCAGAAUUCACACUUCGAAAAUUUUGCAUAAAACUUCUUCUCCCUCAAGGUCUGAAACAUAGUCCUCAGGUGCUGCUCAUGAUCCUCCCGACCCCGGGAGUACACCAGAAUGUCGUCAAUAAACACAAUGACGAAAGAGCCAAGAUAGGGCUGAAAUACACUGUUCAUCAAGUGCAUGAAUGUUGUUAGGGCAUUGGUCAGCCCAAAAGAAAUCACAAGGAACUCGUCAUGACCAUACCGAGUCCUGAAAGCAGUCUUCGGGAUAUCUGGCUCCCGAAUCUUCAACUGAUGAUAGCUUGAAUGCAAGUCGAUCUUAGAGAACACUCUAGCACCCUAAAGCUAAUCAAACAGGUCAUCAAUACGUGGCAAUGGAUAGAUGUUCUUCACUGUAACCAUGUUCAACUAGCGACAAUCAAUACACAUUCGUAUAUAACCAUCCUUCUUCUUUACAAACAAGACAGGAGCACCCCAAAGUGACACACUGGGCCGAACGAAGCCCUUAUUGAGCAACUCUUGCAAUUGUUCCUUUAAUUCUUUCAACUCUGCUGGGGUCAUACGACAAGGUGGAAUAGAAAUGGGCUGAGUGCCCGGUAACAAAUCAAUGCCAAAGUUAAUAUCUCUGCCGGGCGGCAUGCCCGGAAGAUCCACCGGGAAUACAUCUGAAUAGUCCCUCACUACCAGAACAGAGUCGAAAGUAGGAGUAUCAACACUAACAUCCCUCACAUAGGCCAGAUACGCAUCACACCCCAUCUCAACCAUUCGCUGAGUUUUAAGAAAAAAGACAACCCUGCUAGGUAGAUGAUCUAAGGUACCUCUCCACCUUAUAUCAAUCGAUAAGAAUGCAUUUCCCUCACAAAAGGUUAGACAAGUCACUUACCUCGCUCAAUCAAUCGAUAAGAAUGCCUUUCCCUUAACUUUUCGACUAUGAUCGGCUCGAAUCUAGCCUAAACAAUUACAUACUAUAAAUAUAACUACAAGAAACUAAUUUAAAUAAUGAAACUACGACUUAAGCAAAGAAUUGAAAACUCGGCCCAAAAGGUCGACCCGGGCCCACGUCUUAGAAUCGGGUAAAAUUCACAAAAUACGAAUACCCAUUCGAUAACGAGUUCACUCAUGCCAAAAUUACUCAAAUUCGAUACCAAGUCGCCACUCAAAUCCCCAAAUUAAACUCUCCAAAUCCCUAGCCUCAAACUCCCAAAUUCAAUGUUAAAUACGCACAAACUAGGUGGAAAAUCAAUGGGAAAACAAGCUUAUUGAUAAAAAAUGAGUACAAGAGGAUUACCACAAGAAAUCCCUAGAAAAUGCUCUCAAAUAUCGCCAAGACCGGAGCUCAAAAUGUUUAAAAUGAAGCAAAAUCGCGAACCCUUGUAUUUAAGUGUUCUGCCCAGAACUACCGCUUCUGCGGAAACUUAGCUGCAUCUACGGCGUCGCAGAAGUGACAACAUACCUGCUUCUGUAUUUUCUCUCGCUCCUGCUAUCUCUUCAUCCGCUCUUGCGGACUCGCUUCUGCGGGCCUCCCAACCGCUUUUGUGGUCCCAGCUUCUUUUCCAAAUUCCGCUUCUGCGGGUGCACAUCUGCACAAACUUGUCUGCUUCUGCGAACAGGCCUCCCAAGCACGCGUCCGCUUCUACGAUCACUCUUCCGUAGAAGUGACUCCGCUUCUAUGGCCUUCACACCGUACCUGCGACCACAGGCCAUUUCCUUCAACACCGCAUCUGCGCCCAAAUGCUAGCUUCUGCGAGCUCGCACCUGCGGUCAAUCUUGCGCAGGUGGAUUACUCCAUAACUGAUGCACUUCAACCAUCCUCACAAGUCCAAAUUGAUCCGUUAACCAUCUGGAAAUCAUCUGAGGCCCCCGGGUCCUCAACAAAAUACACCAACAAGUCUUAAAAUAGCAUACAAACUUAGUCGAGUCUCUAAAUCACAUCAAACAAUGUUGAACAUAUGAAUUGCACAUCGAUUCAAGCCUAAUGAACUUUAAAGCUUUAAACUUCUACAUCCGACGCCGAAACCUAUCAAAUCAAGUUUGAUUGACAUCAAAUUUUGCACACAAGUCAUGACUAAUAUGACGGACCUACUCCAACUUCCAGAAUCAGAAUCUGACCCCGAUAUCAAAAAGUACACUACCGGUCAAACUUCGCAAAUAUCAUCCAACUUUCUAACUUUCGUCAAUUGACGCUAAAAUUACCUAUGGACCUCCAAUUCAAGAUCCGAAUACGCUCCUAAGACCAAAAUCACCCUACAAAACUAUUGAAACCGUUGGAACUCCAUUUCGGAGUCGUCUUCACAUAGUUCAAAUUACCGUCAAAUUCCUAUAACUUGAACUCCCAAUUUAGGGACUAUGUGUCCCAUUUCACUCUGAAACCAAAAGCAAAUCCCCCCAGCAAGUCACGUAACCACAAAAUAAAAUUGAGGGAGCAAUAAAUAGAGGUUCAGGGCUAAUACUCUCAAAACGACCGACCAGAUCGUUACAGAUACCAAUUGUUUCGGUCGAGCCAAAACGAGUACAAGGCAUAAAUGUUCAUAAAUAUGAUAGUCCAACUAUGAUUUUACAAGUCAUGCCUACUUGAAGUGAAAUAGUUAAAGAAUGAUUUACAAAUAGAUUAAUUUGAAAAACAUAUUAGUAUAAUCAUAUAAGGGUAAAAGUUAUCUACUUUGAAAAAGAAGAUGACAUGCCCAUUCAUUUCUUUAUAUAUAUAUAUAUAACUAAUUUAAUUAACUAUGUGUAUAUCAAUUCUAAUUAAUCAACCAAGUUAUAAAAUAUAUUUGACAUCCUAAAUAUAUAUAUACAAACUUCAAAAAAUUAUCUAAUGCACAAUGUUAUAAGUUAAUCGGAUUAUUAACUAGAUGUAAUACACCCUAAGUAUUUAGCAAAUAGAUGAAUAUCAAAGUAAACAAACAACACGACAUCUAUCUACGGUUUUACUAUACUUGCAUUUUGAGGACAUCUGAGAACGGGAAGUAUGAAGUGGGGGAAAUAUGGGGGGUUGUCUUUGAUUCUUCUCCACACACCGUCUUUGAAAGAUAACUUUCGGGUGGGGUACCUCGCAAAGAAGAAAUGAAAUAUUAGUAAAUAACAUGGAAACAACCUAUAAAGAAUGAAAGUAUUUUAUUGAAAUUGUUUUGAAAAUUAUUUUAAAGAUAGAAAUAUUUUUAUUUUUGAAAAUACAUUUGAAAACAUUUGAAAUUUUUUUUGGGAGGCUCGGAUGUAUUUUUAAUUCUGUCUAGACAUGAGAAUGGGAACUGCUUUGGUUGUGACUACGGUGUCCAACUGUGUCACUGUCCAGAGUGUUGGGUUGUCACGUUUCUCGUAUUUUCCCUUUCCCGAUGAUUUUAUCGUCAUCACCUCGUUUGUUUUCAGGACCGGUUUGGAGGAACAUUCGGAGGGUCGUGACCUCAAUAACUCGGGGUUUAUUUUCAUCGACCUUGGUGCAUUUGUUCAAAAUCAUAGCAUUUUAACAGUAAAGGGGAAUCAUCUCAUUUCCAAUAUUCAUAAGAAAAGUCAAAUUUGUAAAUAGGAAGUACCCAACAAGGUACAAGACAGUGAGGCCCCCAACCAAAGAAAAUGACUAAAACAAUAUCAUGGUCCAAACAAACCAAACAGUGUAGUGUAUCUAAUCAAAAGUAAAUCGGGUGUGCCAAAACAACAAUCAAAGCAACGAAGCGCUGACAGUGAAAAUCAAACUUAAAGUCAUCAUUCAACAAACCAAACAAUAUUAAGCUCAACUUAAGGUCACUAUAAAUGGAAUUCUGAUGAAGUAACAGAAAAGAGAUGGCAUCUUCAAGAAAAGAUACUCAAAGAUACUCAAAAUCGUAAGCUACAGUUAACGUCCAUAUACGGCGUUGCUAGCCCGGCGAUAAAUACCAGAACAACAUUAAAUAUCAUGCACAAAAGGUCACUGGAAAAAUAUAUUUUCCAGCGAAUCAUAGAGAGAAAAUCACAAAGACUGCCAGAAAGAGUAAAAAUCCAGCCAGGUCUCUCUCUUCUGGCCAAUAACAGAGAAGAUAAAGUUUGAGGAAGUGGUGGCGCCAAUAUUAGUUUAGCCGGCCAGAUCUGGCCAUUUCUGCUGGGGUUCCAGCGAUGCAACAAUGAUGAGAGAAGAGAGAGGAUAAGGGCUGGGGAGAGGAAGAGGAUGGCUGCCAUGGCAAGCUGCCAGAUCUCCAGCUGUUAGUCGGUCAAGAGAGUUAUGAGAGAGAGAGAGAGAGAGAGAGAGGGAGCUCGUAUGGGAGAAGAGGUGACGGCUGAAAAAAUGAGUAAUGAGAGAGUGAAAAGUUUUAGGGUUUGAGACUCUCUUUAUAAAGAUAGUGUGAAAAUGUGUAGUGUGUAUGUGUUUUAAAUACUAAGUGUAUGUAAAAAAAAAUAUGUGGUCUUUAUUUAAGCACAAAAUAAAAGAUAAUGUAACUAUAAAAUAUGUGGUCAAAAGUAAAACCACCAACUGUAAACCAUGG